Aegilops tauschii subsp. strangulata is the source of this 1570-nucleotide long non-coding RNA. RefSeq lists it as uncharacterized. The record is from RefSeq and is a predicted model, not a curated record. Lineage: Eukaryota; Viridiplantae; Streptophyta; Magnoliopsida; Poales; Poaceae.
GGCCCGCCGGCGACGCAGCUGAAGCCCCCAACCGGAUCCAUCGCGCGACGCAAAAGGGGAUCGAGCCUCCCCACCCAGAGCUCCCGCGGCCUGACGAGAGGAAAUCGCCCCCGCUGCCGCCGUCCGCCGCCAGGGCUUAGCCUGGCGGCCUCCUCCUGCGACGGCGAGGGGAGUAAGGGGGGCGGGAAGACGGCCCGGCGGCGCGGCUAGGUUUCCGCCCGUGUCGCCUCAGUCGAGAUGACGCGGGGGCUAUGACUGAUGGCAUAAGGUAUUGGAAGAGCAGAUUGAGCCCCUCAAAAAAAAGGAAGAGCAGAUUGAGUGUGGAGAGGACGUAUUGCAUGCAGGAUAUCGUCUGCGGAUGCUUGGGUAAGUACGGAGUUGAGAACACAAGGUCGAGGAGUUUGAUUGCAAGUGUGGGCAGUUUGCACAUAUGGGGCUGUUGUGCUGCCAUGUUUUGAAGAUUCUAGUCAAACAUAUAGUGAAGAGGUGGACAAAGGAAGCCUACUGCCAGCACACCUGGCCCAUUAUCAUAAGGAUCAAAUGUAUAGGAAUCCAUUCUCGCACUGACACAUCAGAAUGUACAUGCAGAGGAAGCUGAAUGUGAUUUGGACUGCAGCGAAGGGAAAGUUGUGAGUGCGGAUCUGAACUGUUCGUUAUGUAAUUCGAGAUACAGUUUUUAGAGUCGUAACUGACGAUGAUCCAUGUCACAUGUAUUGUUUUGGUGUUGUAUUGAUCUGCUGUUGUUGCACCGUUGAGCUCCUAUGCAUGUACUCUCCAAGGGAAUGCUAUGUGGUUUGUUUUCAUGAUCUCUGUGUGUGGGCAGUCUGAGAGGUGAUGAGGUGCACAGUUCUUUCUGUAGAUUACUAAAAGAUUGUUUGUGCUAUCGCAUUUUGGUCUGCUUUUGCGAUGUCUACAGGGAAAACAAUUGUGAAGUGAAACUAUUUUUCAUGCUGCAGAACUGAGAGUUACUGAAUUUGAUUUGGGUGCAGAGGAAUUAUUUGUUGUACACCGCACUUGACAGUUCCAGAGUUUGCCAAUGUGUGCAGGCAAGAACAGGUGGGAGUAAAUGGGCCGAUGAAGACGGCGUUCGUAGGUUCAGAAUGGUAGGGUAACGGCCUGUAUCGUUAAGAAGCGUCCAAGCCGGCAAACGGGUAGCGGAGACGUUACAUUAAUGCUGGUCGGUAGGUGGGCCACGCCCUGGAAUAUCAAUGCAUAUAUUACUUCAAAUACACUGCCGUAUACCUAGUGCAAUGCGAAUUUGGAAGCGCUUGGACAGGAAGGAUAACGAGACCAUCUCAGCUCGGGCUCAUAAUAGGAUUUCCUGUAUUAUUACUUUAUUUUACCAGUGGCAUUAGGGUCGAGCAGGUGGCAAACGAGGUGUACCGUGCGUCGCAAGGAUGGAGGCCGGGGGUGCUUAGACUGGGAUGCUGAAGCUAGCUCUAUCUCCCCCCUGAUGUUUUUGUGGUAGCAUUUGGGUUGUAAUCCAAACUUGGUCGAGCUGGUGCUGCGUCCCCCUACCUGCCUAGCUUAUGUGGCGAACUUGUCUCCUGCUAGUACUCAGUCCGGUCUA